UACGUAGGGGGCGAGCGUUGUCCGGAAUCAUUGGGCGUAAAGCGCGUGUAGGCGGUUCAGUAAGUCUGCUGUGAAAGUCCAGGGCUCAACCCUGGGAUGCCGGUGGAUACUGCUGGGCUAGAGUACGGAAGAGGCGAGUGGAAUUCCUGGUGUAGCGGUGGAAUGCGCAGAUAUCAGGAGGAACACCAAUAGCGAAGGCAGCUCGCUGGGACGGUACUGACGCUAAGGCGCGAAAGCGUGGGGAGCGAACAGG
This 253-nucleotide ribosomal RNA is filed under the name uncultured bacterium. RNAcentral describes it as "partial 16S ribosomal RNA". It matches the Rfam family "Bacterial small subunit ribosomal RNA", at positions 524 to 776 of the family's 1533-position model. The record is from RNAcentral.